GCCCAGCCGUAAACAAUUAACUUACACCUAAUUAACGCCAGGGAACUACGAGCCAUGCUUAAAACCCAAAGGACUUGCGGUGUCCCAUCCCCCUAGAGGAGCCGUGUUCUUGAAUCGAUAAUCCCCGCUAUACCUAUCCCUCCUAUGCUAAUAUACGCCUGUAUACCUCCGUCGAAAGCCUACCAUAUGAACGCACAUAGUAGGCUCAAUAAUUAUUUACAUUAACACGUCAGGUCAAGGUGCAGCUUACGGAGUGGCAAGCAAUGGGCUACAGUUUCUAAUAUAGAACAAACGGAAGGCUAUGUGAAACCACAGCCAUGAAGGCGGAUUUAGUAGUAAAAAGAAAAUAGAGUGUUCUUUUUAACUCGGCUCUGGGACGCGUACACACCGCCCGUCACCCUCUUCAAUGAUUUUAAUUUAGAUUUAUAACCUCAUACUCAUAUUCUAGAAGAGGCAAGUCGUAACAUGGUAAGUGUACUGGAAAGUGCGCUUGGCUACCAAAUGUAGCUUAA
RNAcentral lists this ribosomal RNA (512 nucleotides) under Amolops torrentis. RNAcentral's name for it is "partial 12S ribosomal RNA". It matches the Rfam family "Bacterial small subunit ribosomal RNA", at positions 794 to 1533 of the family's 1533-position model. The record is from RNAcentral. Lineage: Eukaryota; Metazoa; Chordata; Amphibia; Anura; Ranidae.